UUUUUAUGGAGAGUUUGAUCCUGGCUCAGGACGAACGCUGGCUGCGUGCUUAACACAUGCAAGUCGAACGCUGAAGCCCCAGCUUGCUGGGGUGGAUGAGUGGCGAACGGGUG
RNAcentral lists this ribosomal RNA (113 nucleotides) under Brevibacterium antiquum. RNAcentral describes it as "partial 16S rRNA. Bacterial SSU". It matches the Rfam family "Bacterial small subunit ribosomal RNA", at positions 1 to 108 of the family's 1533-position model. The record is from RNAcentral. Lineage: Bacteria; Bacillati; Actinomycetota; Actinomycetes; Micrococcales; Brevibacteriaceae.